This 446-nucleotide long non-coding RNA is filed under the name Brachypodium distachyon (stiff brome). RNAcentral describes it as "long non-coding RNA (BDIS_LNC002068)". Lineage: Eukaryota; Viridiplantae; Streptophyta; Magnoliopsida; Poales; Poaceae. The record is from RNAcentral.
AGUGCCAUCAUAAAAGGACGCAAUACGCGGCGGCUUGCAAGGCGGCGAAGAAGUAUGGUCCGUGCUCGCUCAAGUACUCUGCCGGAAUUGCCUGCUUAAUACUCCGUUAUUGCCGGACAGGAGUAGGUAGUAUAAGAAUCUUUCUCCGUAAUUGCAGCGGUCGCCAUCCACGCGGGGGCCCGAUGGCGGCGGUCCGGCAGACGGCGGCCUGACGAAUGUGCGGCUCCUCUUCUCCUUUCUCUCUGUUAAGCCGUUGUAGCUAGCUUCUGGGCUUGUGGGAUCCAAUCGAUCGACAUGAAUAGGCAUGGCAAUGUGCUCCAAAAAAAAUGACAGGUGGGACCAAGUCAGAAAAAUGGUCUAACAAAUAAAAAAAAUGUCAUUCUGUCAAAGUGCGAAAGAAAGAUGUGCUAUUUUGUCUAAAAAAUGAAGGGCGUGCGUUUGGGGCA